AGCUACUUGAGACGGACGAGCUGACGAGCUU
Molecule: small RNA, 31 nt
Filed under: Arabidopsis thaliana (thale cress)
Lineage: Eukaryota; Viridiplantae; Streptophyta; Magnoliopsida; Brassicales; Brassicaceae
Description: ATSL135470
Source: RNAcentral